RNAcentral lists this ribosomal RNA (376 nucleotides) under uncultured Geobacillus sp. RNAcentral's name for it is "bacterial SSU rRNA". It matches the Rfam family "Bacterial small subunit ribosomal RNA", at positions 1003 to 1382 of the family's 1533-position model. The record is from RNAcentral. Lineage: Bacteria; Bacillati; Bacillota; Bacilli; Caryophanales; Anoxybacillaceae.
GUUACCGUUUUCACCCUCGGGUGACAGGGUGACAGGUGGUGCAUGGUUGUCGUCAGCUCGUGUCGUGAGAUGUUGGGUUAAGUCCCGCAACGAGCGCAACCCUCGCCUCUAGUUGCCAGCAUUCGGUUGGGCACUCUAGAGGGACUGCCGGCGACAAGUCGGAGGAAGUGGGAUGACGUCAAAUCAUCAUGCCCCUUAUGACCUGGGCUACACACGUGCUACAAUGGGCGGUACAAAGGGCUGCGAACCCGCGAGGGGGAGCGAAUCCCAAAAAGCCGCUCUCAGUUCGGAUUGCAGGCUGCAACUCGCCUGCAUGAAGCCGGAAUCGCUAGUAAUCGCGGAUCAGCAUGCCGCGGUGAAUACGUUCCCGGGCCUU